This is a long non-coding RNA of Myodes glareolus (Bank vole), 952 nucleotides long. RefSeq lists it as uncharacterized. The record is from RefSeq and is a predicted model, not a curated record. NCBI's taxonomy places the organism in Eukaryota, Metazoa, Chordata, Mammalia, Rodentia, Cricetidae.
GCGAAGAAGUCGGCAAAGCAUACUGCCUGAAGUUUUUUUCUUGGCAUAGAAACACAUUGCUGGUUCUGCUCUUUGUUCUGGAGCUCGCUGAGUCAGGGAUUCAAAAAGAAUAGCGUGAGGCCGGGAGUGGCAAAGGAAUCUGCAGCAGAUGCAGAAGCCCCAGAGACGUGGUGUGGCUUGAAGAUGCUUCCCUCCUUCGCUGUACUGGCUCUGGAAUCAAGGUCAGGGGCAGGCAACCAAGUCCAGUUCCCUGGAGUCCCAGACCCAGCCCCUUCUCCAAAGAACAUCGGCUUUGUUCCACCCUUGGACUCCACACAGGCUCAGCUGAGUGUCCCAGGCCGAGAGUGUGUGAAGACUCCGAGUGUCUCUACCCAUUUAUUUCAGUUCUUUUGGCUGCACUUCCUGAACCCUGAAGACGCUGGGCCAAGACUUCUUUCUGUGAUCUGCCAGACCUUUGUUCAACCUCACAAAAGGAAGGGAGGAUGGUUAUUAGAAGAACAGUUUCUGCGUUCCAUAGUUACCCCACGUGACAUUGCCUUAGUCUCUCACAAAACUCCAGAUCGCCGGGGUCGAUGUUUCUCCUUCCUUUUCAUCUGGUUAUUUUGCAGCUGUUUAUAGAGAUCGUCACCAUGGUGACAGCAUCAGAACAGCACUUACGGUUUCUGCUCCAAGUCAACCCGCCUCCCUUUUUGAUGGAUUGCCAGCGGGUUUCACCACAGAGGUGGUCCACUCCAGGAAGAGGGAUGGGAAGAUUUGGCUUGGGGUUCCCGACUGGAAACUGGAUUUACCAGAAACCCUCUUUCCUUCAGCUACAACCUGGGUCAAAGUUUCAGGGUGUUGAAAGACACAGUAUAUAAACUACAAAUCUAAAGGACCAUUGGUGUUUGGUCCAUGGACUUGGAGAUUGAGUUCAACAAAUAAACACAGCUGGCGUUGUGGCCUUCAGCAAAUA